RNAcentral lists this ribosomal RNA (467 nucleotides) under uncultured bacterium. Its description in RNAcentral is "partial 16S ribosomal RNA". It matches the Rfam family "Bacterial small subunit ribosomal RNA", at positions 28 to 506 of the family's 1533-position model. The record is from RNAcentral.
GACGAACGCUGGCGGCGUGCUUAACACAUGCAAGUCGAACGGAAAGGCCCUGCUUUUGUGGGGUGCUCGAGUGGCGAACGGGUGAGUAACACGUGAGUAACCUGCCCUUGACUUUGGGAUAACUUCAGGAAACUGGGGCUAAUACCGGAUAGGAGCUCCUGCUGCAUGGUGGGGGUUGGAAAUUUUCGGCGGUUGGGGAUGGACUCGCGGCUUAUCAGCUUGUUGGUGGGGUAGUGGCUUACCAAGGCUUUGACGGGUAGCCGGCCUGAGAGGGUGACCGGCCACAGUGGGACUGAGAUACGGCCCAGACGCCUACGGGAGGAAGCAGUGGGGAAUAUUGCACAAUGGGCGGAAGCCUGAUGCAGCAACGCCGCGUGCGGGAUGACGGCCUUCGGGUUGUAAACCGCUUUCGCCUGUGACGAAGCGUGAGUGACGGUAAUGGGGAAAGAAGCACCGGCUAACUACGU